Transfer RNA from Sphaerobolus stellatus SS14, 71 nucleotides. It matches the Rfam family "tRNA". Rfam says of the family: Transfer RNA (tRNA) molecules are approximately 80 nucleotides in length. Their secondary structure includes four short double-helical elements and three loops (D, anti-codon, and T loops). Further hydrogen bonds mediate the characteristic L-shaped molecular structure. tRNAs have two regions of fundamental functional importance: the anti-codon, which is responsible for specific mRNA codon recognition, and the 3' end, to which the tRNAs corresponding amino acid is attached (by aminoacyl-tRNA synthetases). tRNAs cope with the degeneracy of the genetic code in two manners: having more than one tRNA (with a specific anti-codon) for a particular amino acid; and 'wobble' base-pairing, i.e. permitting non-standard base-pairing at the 3rd anti-codon position. Lineage: Eukaryota; Fungi; Basidiomycota; Agaricomycetes; Geastrales; Sphaerobolaceae. The record is from Rfam.
ACGAGUAUAGUUAAGUGGUAUAACAUCUGCCUUCCAAGAAGAGAUCAUCAGUUCAAGUCUGAUUACUUGUA